AAGUCGUAACAAGGUUUCCGUAGGUGAACCUGCGGAAGGAUCAUUAACACGUUAUCCAACGUAUCACAAACGCGCAAUUGUUUCUCUAAAACAAUUUUCUAUUUUUUACAAAUCUAACCCCUUUUGCUAGUUGACUUUAUUCUAUGUUGCAAUAAAACUAAUUCAUUUUAGUUUUUUGCACACGUUUAAUUAAUUGAACGUUAAAGAUACAACUCUUAGCAAUGGAUAUCUAGGUUCUC
RNAcentral lists this unclassified non-coding RNA (239 nucleotides) under fungal sp. Its description in RNAcentral is "partial internal transcribed spacer region". The stretch from base 1 to 46 matches the Rfam family "Eukaryotic small subunit ribosomal RNA", at positions 1786 to 1831 of the family's 1831-position model. The record is from RNAcentral. Lineage: Eukaryota; Fungi.